UACACUCCUACGGGAGGCAGCAGUGGGGAAUUUUGGACAAUGGGCGAAAGCCUGAUCCAGCCAUGCCGCGUGCAGGAUGAAGGCCUUCGGGUUGUAAACUGCUUUUGUACGGAACGAAACGGCCUUUUCUAAUAAAGAGGGCUAAUGACGGUACCGUAAGAAUAAGCACCGGCUAACUACGUGCCAGCAGCCGCGGUAAUACGUAGGGUGCAAGCGUUAAUCGGAAUUACUGGGCGUAAAGCGUGCGCAGGCGGUUAUGUAAGACAGUUGUGAAAUCCCCGGGCUCAACCUGGGAACUGCAUCUGUGACUGCAUAGCUAGAGUACGGUAGAGGGGGAUGGAAUUCCGCGUGUAGCAGUGAAAUGCGUAGAUAUGCGGAGGAACACCGAUGGCGAAGGCAAUCCCCUGGACCUGUACUGACGCUCAUGCACGAAAGCGUGGGGAGCAAACAGGAUUAGAUACCCCGGUAGUCCCAUG
Molecule: ribosomal RNA, 476 nt
Filed under: uncultured organism
Description: partial 16S ribosomal RNA
Rfam family: Bacterial small subunit ribosomal RNA
Source: RNAcentral